UACGUAUGGUGCGAGCGUUGUCCGGAAUUAUUGGGCGUAAAGGGCUCGUAGGCGGUUUGUCGCGUCGGGAGUGAAAACCAUGGGCUUAACUCAUGGCUUGCUUCCGAUACGGGCAGACUAGAGGUAUGCAGGGGAGAACGGAAUUCCUGGUGUAGCGGUGAAAUGCGCAGAUAUCAGGAGGAACACCGGUGGCGAAGGCGGUUCUCUGGGCAUUACCUGACGCUGAGGAGCGAAAGUGUGGGGAGCGAACAGG
RNAcentral lists this ribosomal RNA (253 nucleotides) under uncultured bacterium. Its description in RNAcentral is "partial 16S ribosomal RNA". It matches the Rfam family "Bacterial small subunit ribosomal RNA", at positions 524 to 776 of the family's 1533-position model. The record is from RNAcentral.